UACGGGAGGCAGCAGUGGGGAAUAUUGCACAAUGGGCGAAAGCCUGAUGCAGCUAUGCCGCGUGUAUGAAGAAGGCCUUAGGGUUGUAAAGUACUUUCAUCGGGGAGGAAAAAACAAAACUAAUAAUUUUAUUUCUUGACGUUACCCGAAAAAGAAGCACCGGCUAACUCCGUGCCAGCAGCCGCGGUAAUACGGAGGGUGCUAGCGUUAAUCAGAAUUACUGGGCGUAAAGAGCACGUAGGUGGUUUUUUUAAGUCAGAUGUGAAUCCCUGGGCUUAACCUAGGAACUGCAUUUUGAAACUGAAAUACUAGAGUAUCGUAGAGGGAGGUAGAAUUCUAGGUGUAGCGGUGAAAUGCGUAGAUAUCUGGAGGAAUACCUGUGGCGAAAGCGGCCUCCUAAACGAAUACUGACACUGAGGUGCGAAAGCGUGGGGAGCAAACGAGGAUUAGAUAC
This 454-nucleotide ribosomal RNA is filed under the name uncultured bacterium. Its description in RNAcentral is "bacterial SSU rRNA". It matches the Rfam family "Bacterial small subunit ribosomal RNA", at positions 340 to 785 of the family's 1533-position model. The record is from RNAcentral.